AAGUUUAAAGUUCCCUUUUAUUUUUUUGGUGAAAAAUAGAAAAUGUAAGAUUUGAUUUCCAAAGUCAUUUGAUAGUUGAUGAGUAACCAAAGUUGUUACUUCUACCUAGUUCUUGGGUCAAUACUCUUUGAAGGAAUACCAUUUUAAAAGCAAUGAAUAAAAUUUCAUUUCUUUGGAAUUGAAUCAAAUCUUAUACAUGAAAAAGCCUCAUCUAAAUCAAACAAUGUCAAGC
RNAcentral lists this long non-coding RNA (232 nucleotides) under Gossypium barbadense (sea-island cotton). RNAcentral describes it as "long non-coding RNA (GBAR_LNC009795)". Lineage: Eukaryota; Viridiplantae; Streptophyta; Magnoliopsida; Malvales; Malvaceae. The record is from RNAcentral.